RNAcentral lists this ribosomal RNA (465 nucleotides) under Vreelandella stevensii. Its description in RNAcentral is "partial 16S ribosomal RNA". It matches the Rfam family "Bacterial small subunit ribosomal RNA", at positions 338 to 795 of the family's 1533-position model. The record is from RNAcentral. Lineage: Bacteria; Pseudomonadati; Pseudomonadota; Gammaproteobacteria; Oceanospirillales; Halomonadaceae.
CCUACGGGGGGCUGCAGUGGGGAAUAUUGGACAAUGGGGGGAACCCUGAUCCAGCCAUGCCGCGUGUGUGAAGAAGGCCCUCGGGUUGUAAAGCACUUUCAGUGAGGAAGAACGCCUGGUGGUUAAUACCCAUCAGGAAAGACAUCACUCACAGAAGAAGCACCGGCUAACUCCGUGCCAGCAGCCGCGGUAAUACGGAGGGUGCGAGCGUUAAUCGGAAUUACUGGGCGUAAAGCGCGCGUAGGUGGCUUGAUAAGCCGGUUGUGAAAGCCCCGGGCUCAACCUGGGAACGGCAUCCGGAACUGUCAAGCUAGAGUGCAGGAUAGGAAGGUAGAAUUCCCGGUGUAGCGGUGAAAUGCGUAGAGAUCGGGAGGAAUACCAGUGGCGAAGGCGGCCUUCUGGACUGACACUGACACUGAGGUGCGAAAGCGUGGGUAGCAAACAGGAUUAGAUACCCGUGUAGUC